This 492-nucleotide ribosomal RNA is filed under the name uncultured bacterium. RNAcentral describes it as "partial 16S ribosomal RNA". It matches the Rfam family "Bacterial small subunit ribosomal RNA", at positions 29 to 507 of the family's 1533-position model. The record is from RNAcentral.
AGUGAACGCUGGCGGUAGGCCUAACACAUGCAAGUCGAACGGCAGCACAGUAAGAGCUUGCUCUUACGGGUGGCGAGUGGCGGACGGGUGAGGAAUACAUCGGAAUCUACUUUUUCGUGGGGGAUAACGUAGGGAAACUUACGCUAAUACUGCAUACGACCUACGGGUGAAAGCAGGGGAUCUUCGGACCUUGCGCGAUUGAAUGAGCCGAUGUCGGAUUAGCUAGUUGGCGGGGUAAAGGCCCACCAAGGCGACGAUCCGUAGCUGGUCUGAGAGGAUGAUCAGCCACACUGGAACUGAGACACGGUCCAGACUCCCACGGGAGGCAGCAGUGGGGAAUAUUGGACAAUGGGCGCAAGCCUGAUCCAGCCAUACCGCGUGGGUGAAGAAGGCCUUCGGGUUGUAAAGCCCUUUUGUUGGGAAAGAAAAGCAGCAGGUUAAUACCCCGCUGUUCUGACGGUACCCAAAGAAUAAGCACCGGCUAACUUCGUG